This 193-nucleotide ribosomal RNA is filed under the name uncultured Acidobacteriota bacterium. RNAcentral describes it as "uncultured Acidobacteria bacterium partial 16S ribosomal RNA". It matches the Rfam family "Bacterial small subunit ribosomal RNA", at positions 338 to 522 of the family's 1533-position model. Lineage: Bacteria; Pseudomonadati; Acidobacteriota. The record is from RNAcentral.
CCUACGGGAGGCAGCAGUGGGGAAUUGUUCGCGAUGGGCGCAAGCCUGACGACGCAACGCCGCGUGGAGGAUGAAGAUCUUCGGGUCGUAAACUCCUGUCGAGUGGGAAGAAACGUUUCGGGGCGAAUAUCCCCGGAAUUUGACGGUACCACUAAAGGAAGCCCCGGCUAACUCCGUGCCAGCAGCCGCGGUA